CAGGCCUAACACAUGCAAGUCGAACGGAAAGGCCCUGCUUUUGUGGGGUGCUCGAGUGGCGAACGGGUGAGUAACACGUGAGUAACCUGCCCUCGACUUUGGGAUAACUUCAGGAAACUGGGGCUAAUACCGGAUAGGAGCUCCUGCUGCAUGGUGGGGGUUGGAAAGUUUCGGCGGUUGGGGAUGGACUCGCGGCUUACCAGCUUGUUGGUGGGGUAGUGGCUUACCAAGGCUUUGACGGGUAGCCGGCCUGAGAGGGUGACCGGCCACAUUGGGACUGAGAUACGGCCCAGACUCCUACGGGAGGCAGCAGUGGGGAAUAUUGCACAAUGGGCGGAAGCCUGAUGCAGCAACGCCGCGUGCGGGAUGACGGUCUUCGGGUUGUAAACCGCUUUCGCCUGUGACGAAGCGUGAGUGACGGUAAUGGGUAAAGAAGCACCGGCUAACUACGUGCCAGCAGCCGCGGUGAUACGUAGGGUGCGAGCGUUGUCCGGAUUUAUUGGGCGUAAAGGGCUCGUAGGUGGUUGAUCGCGUCGGAAGUGUAAUCUUGGGGCUUAACCCUGGGCGUGCUUUCGAUACGGGUUGACUUGAGGAAGGUAGGGGAGAAUGGAAUUCCUGGUGGAGCGGUGGAAUGCGCAGAUAUCAGGAGGAACACCAGUGGCGAAGGCGGUUCUCUGGGCCUUUCCUGACGCUGAGGAGCGAAAGCGUGGGGAGCGAACAGGCUUAGAUACCCUGGUAGUCCACGCUGUA
Molecule: ribosomal RNA, 750 nt
Filed under: uncultured bacterium
Lineage: Bacteria
Description: bacterial SSU rRNA
Rfam family: Bacterial small subunit ribosomal RNA
Source: RNAcentral